RNAcentral lists this ribosomal RNA (254 nucleotides) under uncultured bacterium. RNAcentral's name for it is "partial 16S ribosomal RNA". It matches the Rfam family "Bacterial small subunit ribosomal RNA", at positions 524 to 776 of the family's 1533-position model. The record is from RNAcentral.
UACGGAGGGUGCAAGCGUUAUCCGGAAUCACUGGGUUUAAAGGGUGCGUAGGCGGUCUGAUAAGUCAGUCGUGAAAUCGCUGGGCUCAACCCAUGCAAUUGCGAUUGAUACUGCCAGACUUGAAUGGGGUUGAGGCUAGCGGAAUGCGGCAUGUAGCGGUGAAAUGCUUAGAUAUGCCGCAGAACACCGAUUGCGAAGGCAGCUAGCUGGGCCCUUAUUGACGCUGAGGCACGAAAGCGUGGGGAGCAAACAGG